Molecule: RNase P RNA, 316 nt
Filed under: Nitrosospira sp.
Lineage: Bacteria; Pseudomonadati; Pseudomonadota; Betaproteobacteria; Nitrosomonadales; Nitrosomonadaceae
Also listed under: 1 other name
Description: RNase P RNA component class A
Rfam family: Bacterial RNase P class A
About the family: Ribonuclease P (RNase P) is a ubiquitous endoribonuclease, found in archaea, bacteria and eukarya as well as chloroplasts and mitochondria.
Source: RNAcentral
GAAGCUGGCUAGACAGUCGCUGCCUAUUUUCAGCAAUGAAAAGUAGGGAGAGGAAAGUCCGGGCUCCAUAGAGCAGGAUGCCGGUUAAUGGCCGGCCGCUAUAAGUCGCAAGACCCAAGGUGAGGAAUAGGGCCACAGAGACGAGCGUAUUAAGUUACGGUGAAACGCGGUAACCUCCAUCCGGAGCAAGACCAAAUAGGCAGGCUAUGAAGCUGCUCGCUGAGCCUGCGGGUAGGUUGCUUGAGCGUACGGGCAACCGUGCGCCUAGAGGAAUGACUGUCCACGACAGAACCCGGCUUACCGGCCAGCUUCGUUA